Molecule: non-coding RNA, 45 nt
Filed under: Schistosoma mansoni
Lineage: Eukaryota; Metazoa; Platyhelminthes; Trematoda; Strigeidida; Schistosomatidae
Source: RNAcentral
AUCCAGCUUAUGAGUCCCAAACAGGACGAAACGCGCGUCCUGGAU